Molecule: ribosomal RNA, 1251 nt
Filed under: Microbacterium oxydans
Lineage: Bacteria; Bacillati; Actinomycetota; Actinomycetes; Micrococcales; Microbacteriaceae
Description: bacterial SSU rRNA
Rfam family: Bacterial small subunit ribosomal RNA
Source: RNAcentral
GUGAACACGGAGCUUGCUCUGUGGGAUCAGUGGCGAACGGGUGAGUAACACGUGAGCAACCUGCCCCUGACUCUGGGAUAAGCGCUGGAAACGGCGUCUAAUACUGGAUAUGUGACGUGACCGCAUGGUCUGCGUCUGGAAAGAAUUUCGGUUGGGGAUGGGCUCGCGGCCUAUCAGCUUGUUGGUGAGGUAAUGGCUCACCAAGGCGUCGACGGGUAGCCGGCCUGAGAGGGUGACCGGCCACACUGGGACUGAGACACGGCCCAGACUCCUACGGGAGGCAGCAGUGGGGAAUAUUGCACAAUGGGCGCAAGCCUGAUGCAGCAACGCCGCGUGAGGGACGACGGCCUUCGGGUUGUAAACCUCUUUUAGCAGGGAAGAAGCGAAAGUGACGGUACCUGCAGAAAAAGCGCCGGCUAACUACGUGCCAGCAGCCGCGGUAAUACGUAGGGCGCAAGCGUUAUCCGGAAUUAUUGGGCGUAAAGAGCUCGUAGGCGGUUUGUCGCGUCUGCUGUGAAAUCCGGAGGCUCAACCUCCGGCCUGCAGUGGGUACGGGCAGACUAGAGUGCGGUAGGGGAGAUUGGAAUUCCUGGUGUAGCGGUGGAAUGCGCAGAUAUCAGGAGGAACACCGAUGGCGAAGGCAGAUCUCUGGGCCGUAACUGACGCUGAGGAGCGAAAGGGUGGGGAGCAAACAGGCUUAGAUACCCUGGUAGUCCACCCCGUAAACGUUGGGAACUAGUUGUGGGGUCCAUUCCACGGAUUCCGUGACGCAGCUAACGCAUUAAGUUCCCCGCCUGGGGAGUACGGCCGCAAGGCUAAAACUCAAAGGAAUUGACGGGGACCCGCACAAGCGGCGGAGCAUGCGGAUUAAUUCGAUGCAACGCGAAGAACCUUACCAAGGCUUGACAUAUACGAGAACGGGCCAGAAAUGGUCAACUCUUUGGACACUCGUAAACAGGUGGUGCAUGGUUGUCGUCAGCUCGUGUCGUGAGAUGUUGGGUUAAGUCCCGCAACGAGCGCAACCCUCGUUCUAUGUUGCCAGCACGUAAUGGUGGGAACUCAUGGGAUACUGCCGGGGUCAACUCGGAGGAAGGGGGGGGAUGACGUCAAAUCAUCAUGCCCCUUAUGUCUUGGGCUUCACGCAUGCUACAAUGGCCGGUACAAAGGGCUGCAAUACCGCGGAGGUGGAGNGAAUCCCAAAAAGCCGGUCCCAGUUCGGAUUGAGGUCUGCAACUCGACCUCAUGAAGUCG